UUAGAAGCAGCCAUCAUUUAAAGAAAGCGUAAUAGCUCACUGGUCGAGUCGGCCUGCGCGGAAGAUGUAACGGGGCUAAACCAUGCACCGAAGCUGCGGCAGCGACGCUUAGGCGUUGUUGGGUAGGGGAGCGUUCUGUAAGCCGUUGAAGGUGUGCUGUGAGGCAUGCUGGAGGUAUCAGAAGUGCGAAUGCUGACAUAAGUAACGAUAAAGCGGGUGAAAA
RNAcentral lists this ribosomal RNA (223 nucleotides) under Enterobacter hormaechei. RNAcentral's name for it is "partial 23S ribosomal RNA". It matches the Rfam family "Bacterial large subunit ribosomal RNA", at positions 1106 to 1327 of the family's 2925-position model. The record is from RNAcentral. Lineage: Bacteria; Pseudomonadati; Pseudomonadota; Gammaproteobacteria; Enterobacterales; Enterobacteriaceae.